ACACGUAGGGGGCAAGUGUUGUCCGGAAUUACUGGGCGUAAAGGGUGCGUAGGCGGCCGAGCAAGUCCGAUGUGAAAGACCACGGCUAAACUGUGGGGGUGCAUAGGAAACUGUCCGGCUUGAGUGCAGGAGAGGAAAGUGGAAUUCCUAGUGUAGCGGUGAAAUGCGUAGAGAUUAGGAAGAACACCAGUGGCGAAGGCGACUUUCUGGACUGUAACUGACGCUGAGGCACGAAAGCGUGGGGAGCGAACAGGAUUAGAUACCCUGGUAGUCCACGCCGUAAACGAUGGAUACUAGGUGUAGGGGGUAUCGACCCCCCCUGUGCCGGAGUUAACGCAAUAAGUAUCCCGCCUGGGGAGUACGGCCGCAAGGUUGAA
This 377-nucleotide ribosomal RNA is filed under the name uncultured bacterium. RNAcentral describes it as "bacterial SSU rRNA". It matches the Rfam family "Bacterial small subunit ribosomal RNA", at positions 523 to 898 of the family's 1533-position model. The record is from RNAcentral.